UAGUUUCAAGGGAAACAUGGUUAGCUUAUUAAUAGUGUAAUAAGGUCACCAAUUGUUGGUUUCAGUAUUUGAUAUGAUCAAAUUUGUUUUAAAAGUUUUAGUCCAAUUUUUUCACUACCAAAAGGCAAAAAUACAAAUCAAGAUCACAAAUCAAGAUCACAUUGCAAUGCAAGAAGCAAUGAUAGAUUAAACACACCUAGGAAAUAUGAGCGACCAAAGCUUGGUAAUCGAUCUAUACAACAUAAUCUGGGAAAAUCGAAAAUAGAAGUUGCAAUGGUUUGUAUUUUUCUGAAAUAAUAUAUACAGAGUAUAUCUUUUGCCUGAGUUAGAGAUGCAAUUGAUUUGAUGAUUGCACAGAGAGUAAUAGUGUCUACUGGAACGAAUCUCAUUUUUCGAAGGGAUUUCCCAACCACGACUUACAAGAGAGGCAUGAGAUAGAUGAACUGCAUUCAGUGGAGCAGCUCAAAGAUCGUACUACUGAAGUUUCAAGGAGUUCAUCUGAAUUUUUGCAUGAUUAAACUGCCACAUAUGUUCCACAAGAUGAUGACAGCAAUAAAUCUACUGAUAACAGAAAUGGCUCUAACUACUAUGAUUUAAGUGACGUUGAACAAGAUGAAUCUAGUGAUACCACCAGUGACUCUAGUUCUAGUAGCAGCAGCGAUGAUGUAGACAAUGAUCAUGACUCUGAAUUUGGCGACUCUGAUAUCGAUGACUCUGAUGUUGAUGACUCUGAUGUUGAUGGAUCUGAUAUUGAUGACUCUGAUGACAGCCAGAAAGAAGACAUGUAUGAGUGCACAGUUACUGCAUAAUGUCUAUAUAAAUUAAAGUACAUUAAUUUCCAUUAUACCAUGGUCACGUGAUGUGCAACAAGUCACGAGUGUGUAUUGAGAUGAUGUAUAUGAAGUAUUACACAGCAAAUAUUCUAUAAUUAAGUUACUUCCAGUUAAUAUCUCACUUAUACUUAUAAACGUCACGUGACUAUGGUAUAAAUAACUUACCGUAUGAUUAGCAUGUUAUAUGGCUUUUACCGGCAUUGGAGUGAGAUUAGAGCACUCGGCUUUAUCGUGGGCAAUAACUUCGCCCUUUGUUCUGGUGAAAGUCAUGCAUAUAGCACACUAAUCAUGUGAUAACCUAUACUCAAUUACCAUAGCAUUGGUGUAGGGACAUGAAUGUAGAUAGUACUACAGUUGAGAAUGGAACCGUAGGGACACAAAAAAUGAGGAAUACAACUCACUGUAUGCUGGCUGUCCAAUCAAAGAAGAUCAAAGUGUUUUAUUGAUUUCAAUCUUUGCUAUUCGUCAUCACCUUUCAGACGUGGCCAUCAGUGAUCUUCUUCAGCUUAUCUCAUUGCACUGCCCAGAGCCAAACAAUUGUAUCAAGUCUUUGUUCAGGUACAUUAGUGGUCAUGUAUGAGAAUUCCAACGUAGGAGACUUUAGUCUGGAAGUUACAUGUGUUGAUUUCUGAGAUGCUUGAAGUCUAAUAUAUUUAAUAUGUAAGUAUAUCUGCAGGCUGAAUGCAUAUGGUUAGGUUCAAGUGGUUCAGGAAAUGUUUACUGUCUGACGUUAACAGUUCUUUUUGCAAGCCAACAAAGACAUUGGUGUGUGGUUUGUGUGGAGAAGAGGCUACAAAGUUGUGCGAUAACAACAUAUGUCAAAACUAUCAGAAAUCUACAUUAUGCCUGCAUGACUUGAUCUCUCCCAUAACUCUUCAACUCUCAAGAUUGUUGGCAGAGAAUAAACAGACCCUUUUACAAAAGUCUUCCAAUUCAGAUGAACUACGUGUUGAGCACCAAAAAUCCAAGAUAUCACUGACAGUCAGAGGUUACGUUGCCGCUCAUACCAUUGAUUGAGUUGCUGUACAUAAAUUUUGUUGAGGUAGUUAGGUAUAAGGUAAUCAAGAGCUCAGUCAAUGGACAAAUUGUAUCGCUUAUUGUCAAUGCUGAUGGUGCCCCAGUCUUCAAGUCAUCAAAGUUAUCAGUGUGGCCUUUGAUGUGUCAUGUUGUUGAGUUACCUGUACCAUUAAUUAAGGUUUGAAGUAGAAUGCAUGUGGUGUUGAAUUCUGUUAUAUUUUUUUGUUUUGAACAAGCCUGAACUAUUAUUUUGCUUCUGAUUACAGCAUGCCCUAUGUUUCAAUCUCCAUUCUAGAUUUAAUGUUGACAACAUGAUUCUGGCAGGACUUUUGUGUGGUCCUACCGAACCCAAAAUCCAUUUGUUUCUGAAUGCUUUUGUGGAGAAAAUGCAGAGUCUUUCCCAGGAAGGUACAGCAGUGCAAUCUUCGUUUGUGACAAUGCAUCUUCAAUUCCAUUCUUAUGCAAAACCAUUUUUGACCAUGUUUGCUGCGGUGUGGUUUUCAUAUUUACAUACCAGAAGUUUAAUGGUUUUGGUUAUCUUUAAGAAGAUCUCCUUUGCACAUGUGUCUUUAAGGAGUAACAAUCCAAUCUGGAGAAGAAGGGUCUUAUACAUGGAAGGUUGGACUAUGUCAAGUGGUUGCGGACUUGCCAGCUAGAGCUCAACUACUAAAUCAUGUACAAUUCAAUGAAGCUUAUGGAUGCACGCAAUGCCUACAUCCAGGCAGGCGACUUCAACAUGUCCAGGUCUAUCCAUAUUGUGAACACGACUGGAGGACAAAGGAGACAGUCACAGACCAUGCUUCUAGAGCAGAAUUGACUGGAAAACCUAUUUAUGGAGUUAAAGGCAAGAGUGUCAUGCAUGAGUUGGUUGAAAUUGCUGAUGAUCCGCCAAUUGACUAUAUGCACACUGUCUUAGAAGGAGUUUUCAAGCGUCUUCUAAGGUAUUGGUUUGAACCUGAAUUUCACCAGGAGGAGUACUAUCUGGGAAGAAAUCAAAACCAUCAGUGACACAAUAGCAAAGAUAAAGGUUCCACAUGACUUUAGUUGAAAACCAAGAUCAUUAGAUCUAAUUAAAUUUUUCAAAGCAAUGGAGUACCAUAACUUGCUACUAUACUUUAUACUUCCUGUCGUUCGUCAGUUUUUGCCUCCAGACUAUUUUCUUCACUUUUCCCUUUUGGUUGAAGCUAUCACAACAUUGUUGUUGAAUCCAUCUAAAAAGGAAGCAAGGUUUGCUGGCUUGCUGCUGUCUUACUUUGUCAAAGAAAUGGAACAACUUUAUGGACCUACUGCAAUGACUAUGACUGUUCAUAGUUUGCAGCAUUUGGAGAGAAAGGUUAUUGAGAUUGGUCCUCUGUGGGCCAAUAAUUUUCAUUGUUCUCAUUUGAAAAUAUGGUGAAGGAAAUAGGUCACCUUUAUUCUGGGACAAGGCACAUAGGAGACCAGGUCAGUCGUGUUUUCAUUGAAGAGCAUAUGUUCACAGAUUUCUCAAAAUUUUGUUUUGAGACAACAGCUUGCCAGAUGUCAAACAGCCACUGCUCAAGUCGUCAAAGACUAUGCUUUGCAUCUACGUCUUAGACGAAAUCAUAAUGCUAGGCAAAAUACAAUCCAAGUUUUGAGCAGGCUAGCCUACUUUUUGCCAGUUGUUGAGGAGAAGCUGGAUGACAUUGAAGUCUCUGCUGUAAGAGAUUAUUUGGGAAGAACAGCGACGACAAUUUUUCAGUUACUAGAGGGAUCGUUGAUCAUGAAAUGUACCACAGCUUGCAAUUCAAAUGGAAAGGGAAACACAUGCAGCAAUGUGGUGGAAGCAGAACACAGGACAGAAAAUAUACGGCAGCAUUUUGAAGUUUCCUUUGCUGAAUGACACUACUCCAGUAGCCUUGUUGAGGACACUGCAUUAUCACUGUAUCAACAUUUGCAGAGAAGUCACUGGUUCUACCAAAUCGUUUAUAAGGCAGCUCCAAUGUGAUAGAGCUGUAGGAACAUCCUUUAUUACAGUUGAAGAACUAGAUGAUGUUGCAAUUGUGGAUUGCUGUGAUAUUAAAAGGACGUGUAUUUAUAUUCCUUCCAAUGACUAUGGUCCAACUAUUUGUGGUUUGAUAGUACCAAAUUUGGGAGAUUUUCAGGUUAAAUAGAGACAUGGUUAUAUUUAUUGCAAAUCUAUAGUUCGUUGUAGAAUAUUGUAAUACAGGGAGCUAAACUGCAAAGUA
Corticium candelabrum is the source of this 4057-nucleotide long non-coding RNA. RefSeq lists it as uncharacterized. The transcript has 11 exons. Lineage: Eukaryota; Metazoa; Porifera; Homoscleromorpha; Homosclerophorida; Plakinidae. The record is from RefSeq and is a predicted model, not a curated record.